This 915-nucleotide ribosomal RNA is filed under the name Clavibacter sp. Its description in RNAcentral is "bacterial SSU rRNA". It matches the Rfam family "Bacterial small subunit ribosomal RNA", at positions 554 to 1470 of the family's 1533-position model. The record is from RNAcentral. Lineage: Bacteria; Bacillati; Actinomycetota; Actinomycetes; Micrococcales; Microbacteriaceae.
UUGGGCGUAAGAGCUCGUAGGCGGUUUGUCGCGUCUGCUGUGAAAUCCCGAGGCUCAACCUCGGGUCUGCAGUGGGUACGGGCAGACUAGAGUGCGGUAGGGGAGAUUGGAAUUCCUGGUGUAGCGGUGGAAUGCGCAGAUAUCAGGAGGAACACCGAUGGCGAAGGCAGAUCUCUGGGCCGUAACUGACGCUGAGGAGCGAAAGCAUGGGGAGCGAACAGGAUUAGAUACCCUGGUAGUCCAUGCCGUAAACGUUGGGAACUAGAUGUGGGGACCAUUCCACGGUCUCCGUGUCGCAGCUAACGCAUUAAGUUCCCCGCCUGGGGAGUACGGCCGCAAGGCUAAAACUCAAAGGAAUUGACGGGGGCCCGCACAAGCGGCGGAGCAUGCGGAUUAAUUCGAUGCAACGCGAAGAACCUUACCAAGGCUUGACAUAUACCGGAAACAUGCAGAGAUGUGUGCCCCGCAAGGUCGGUAUACAGGUGGUGCAUGGUUGUCGUCAGCUCGUGUCGUGAGAUGUUGGGUUAAGUCCCGCAACGAGCGCAACCCUCGUUCUAUGUUGCCAGCACGUAAUGGUGGGAACUCAUAGGAGACUGCCGGGGUCAACUCGGAGGAAGGUGGGGAUGACGUCAAAUCAUCAUGCCCCUUAUGUCUUGGGCUUCACGCAUGCUACAAUGGCCGGUACAAAGGGCUGCGAUACCGUAAGGUGGAGCGAAUCCCAAAAAGCCGGUCUCAGUUCGGAUUGAGGUCUGCAACUCGACCUCAUGAAGUCGGAGUCGCUAGUAAUCGCAGAUCAGCAACGCUGCGGUGAAUACGUUCCCGGGCCUUGUACACACCGCCCGUCAAGUCAUGAAAGUCGGUAACACCCGAAGCCAGUGGCCUAACCGCAAGGGAGGAGCUGUCGAAGUGGGAUCG